UUGCAGGAUACCCUGGCAGGGCUGAGAGCAGCCCUCAGCUGUUUUUAUCUUUCACCUUCUACAGCAGCAGAAGAGUAUUGCUAUGGCUGAGGAGAGCUGAGAACUGAGGAAGGAAACUGUGGUGCAUACAGCCCAAACAAAAACUCACAGCCCUGCACUGGAAUAUUCCUGAAACUGCUUUAGGGACUGGGAUAAGAAUCAGAGGGUUACUGUGAAACUCUGUUUUCCCCAUCAUCCACUAGUACCAAAGAGAAUCUGGUAGGGCAACUCCAGUGGAAUUACUCCUGGUUUACACUGAGGGUAACUGUCCCUGCCUGCCAGAAUACUCCAAAGCCCAGAGGAAAAUCUGAGAGUUGAGUGCCAGUGUCAUGGCUUGAACACGCUGCUGACUUCUCAGGGGAUCAGUUGAGGACACUGCUUCUCAGAACUGGGCAGCUCUGAAAUUCAUCCAGCAUCUCUGGGAAAGGGUGAAAGCAAGACAAUACCAGCGUAACGGAGAAGACUUACAUGAGCCAUCAACCUUAGGCAGGACCUGGAUGAUACCAGCAUAACUAGGAGCGUUUGUGUGCAUAGGAACCACAGAGUCAGACGUUCUUGUGAGAAGACGCUCAACAGCAUUGUCUUUAUGCUGAUGUCUUUUCAGAAAUAACAACUCUCCAAGCACAUAGAUAUGCUGGGAGAAGGUGCUGCAGAAACCAUAGUGUGGAGACAAAGGUGGAG
Long non-coding RNA from Pipra filicauda (Wire-tailed manakin), 720 nucleotides. RefSeq lists it as uncharacterized. The transcript has 4 exons. The record is from RefSeq and is a predicted model, not a curated record. Lineage: Eukaryota; Metazoa; Chordata; Aves; Passeriformes; Pipridae.